UUCGCCCUUAGAGUUUGAUCCUGGGCUCAGGAUGAACGCUGGCGGCGUGCCUAACACAUGCAAGUCGAACGGACUCAUAUUGAAACCUAGUGAUUUAUGAGUUAGUGGCGGACGGGUGAGUAACGCGUGGAAAACCUGCCGUAUACCGGGGGAUAACACUUAGAAAUAGGUGCUAAUACCGCAUAAGCGCACAGCUUCGCAUGAAGCAGUGUGAAAAACUCCGGUGGUAUACGAUGGUUCCGCGUCUGAUUAGCUAGUUGGCGGGGUAACGGCCCACCAAGGCAGCGAUCAGUAGCCGGCCUGAGAGGGUGAACGGCCACAUUGGGACUGAGACACGGCCCAAACUCCUACGGGAGGCAGCAGUGGGGAAUAUUGCACAAUGGGGGGAACCCUGAUGCAGCGAUGCCGCGUGAGUGAAGACGGCCUUCGGGUUGUAAAGCUCUGUCGCAGGGGACGAAAAUGACGGUACCCUGCAAGAAAGCUCCGGCUAACUACGUGCCAGCAGCCGCGGUAAUACGUAGGGAGCAAGCGUUGUCCGGAAUUACUGGGUGUAAAGGGAGCGUAGGCGGGAGGAUAAGUUGAAUGUGAAAUCCAUGGGCUCAACCCAUGGCUGCGUUCAAAACUGUUCUUCUUGAGUGAAGUAGAGGCAGGCGGAAUUCCUAGUGUAGCGGUGAAAUGCGUAGAUAUUAGGAGGAACACCAGUGGCGAAGGCGGCCUGCUGGGCUUUUACUGACGCUGAGGCUCGAAAGCGUGGGUAGCAAACAGGAUUAGAUACCCUGGUAGUCCACGCGGUAAACGAUGAUUACUAGGUGUGGGUGGACUGACCCCAUCCGUGCCGGAGUUAACACAAUAAGUAAUCCACCUGGGGAGUACGGCCGCAAGGUUGAAACUCAAAGGAAUUGACGGGGGCCCGCACAAGCAGUGGAGUAUGUGGUUUAAUUCGACGCAACGCGAAGAACCUUACCAGGUCUUGACAUCGAGUGACGGAUAUAGAGAUAUAUCUUUCCUUCGGGACACGAAGACAGGUGGUGCAUGGUUGUCGUCAGCUCGUGUCGUGAGAUGUUGGGUUAAGUCCCGCAACGAGCGCAACCCUUACCAUUUGUUGCUACGCAAGAGCACUCUAAUGGGACUGCCGUUGACAAAACGGAGGAAGGUGGGGAUGACGUCAAAUCAUCAUGCCCUUUAUGACCUGGGCGACACACGUACUACAAUGGCGAUGAACAGAGGGAGGCAAAGCCGCGAGGCAGAGCAAACCCCUAAAAAUCGUCCCAGUUCGGAUUGCAGGCUGCAACUCGCCUGCAUGAAGUCGGAAUUGCUAGUAAUCGCGGAUCAGCAUGCCGCGGUGAAUACGUUACCGGGCCUUGCACUCACCGCCCGUCA
Molecule: ribosomal RNA, 1380 nt
Filed under: uncultured bacterium
Lineage: Bacteria
Description: 16S ribosomal RNA
Rfam family: Bacterial small subunit ribosomal RNA
Source: RNAcentral